Molecule: long non-coding RNA, 1556 nt
Organism: Heterocephalus glaber (naked mole-rat)
Lineage: Eukaryota; Metazoa; Chordata; Mammalia; Rodentia; Bathyergidae
Source: Ensembl
UGUGGAAUGGCUAACUCAGGUUACUUAAAAUAUACAUCACCUUUCCAUUUUUCUAAUAACAUCUAAUCCACUGAUUAAGAAUCAACAAAAAUUCCGUGAGAUUAUGCCCUUUCCUUCGCCUUCUAAUUGCUUGCAAAGUUGGGGGGGGUGGGGAACAGUCCUUACUGUCCUUCCCAAAAAUAUGCUCAAGUCUGCCAAUUCUAACAUCCUGCCAGCAACCCUCGCGAGACCAACUGACACGGGUCUCUGGAAGGAGUCGGACCUUGGAAGAGCGUGAAGGCGCGCGGCAUUCUGGGAACAGUUACGGUGGCCGAAUUGACUUUGUGGCUGUUACCCUGGCAACGGGAGCAAAAGCAGGGAUCGAACUCGGGAAUUUGAGCUUGCCAGGCAGGCGCGGUGCCACGGAGCUAAAUCUCCGACCCGUAGAGGCCUUUCUAAAAGAAGAGCGUCGUAUCCGGAAGUUUUCCAGGAGUGCUCCAUAGCCGGAACAGUGGAUCCAGGAAUCUGGGUCUCGCUCCGUUGUUUCUGGGUCUUGAGAAAGGAAGUGCAGCCCUCUGGCUCCUCACUGUUGCUUCUCUAGUUUUCUAGCUCCUUUUAGAAAAUUGAGUUUGGAUGCAACAUGUCAAGACAAUCCUUUAAGAAGUGUGGCUGUAAAGGAAAAGAGAAAGGUCAGUGCCUGAAGAGAAUGGCAAGUGAAGAAAUUGGAAGAUUUCUUUAUGGAAGAGUGACCUACUGUUUAUUAAUACAACAGAAAAAAAGUUGAUACUUGCGGUGGUUAUUCAUUGUCAACAAAAGAAUUAAAACCCUCAGCAGCAAAAUUCCUCAUUAAAGCAAUCCUGCCCAGCGAGUACUAAGCAGUCAUAAGAUAAUGCACUGUGAGGAAGAAAUAAAUGAUCUUGUCAAGUUGCACCUUUAAUGUACAACUUUAGAUAUGAUGCAGGUGUUCCUGAAAGAUUAACAAGGAAGAAGAUGCCCUGGAAAAUGCAUUUCUGAGACAUCUACAUUUGCUGACUCAGACCCUUUCCUAUUUCCUCAAUAUAAAGACGCCAGCUUCUCCCCGUGACAGAGCAAUUCCUCCCUUGGGAACUUACCCACCAUCCCUCUUGACAUUGUUUUCUGAUCUAAGUAAACUCUUGCCUUUAUUUUUAUUCUAGUCUUGGUAAAUUCUUUUACUGCUCACAUCACCAGUAAUGCUGUCUUGCAGGGCAGUAGUGAGGAAGAGAUUAAAGAUACUGCCAAAAAAGAGGAUAACUGACUGAUUACCUAAAGGAACAGGAGGAGAUGGGAUCCAUAGACCAGGUCCAUAAAUUACCUUAGAUUGAAGAUAGAACCAGGAAAGAGGAUGUCAAAGUCGAUAUAGCCCAUUAAAUACUUGGGGAAUUAUUGUGGGUUACCAUAUCCCAUUCCAUACUUUUCUAAUGACAUUAGGAUAAUGGUAGCCAGCUGUGCAUGUCAGUAGCUGCACCUAAGGGAUACAAGCAGUACUUUUUUUUUUUGGUACCGGGGAUCGAACUCUGGUCCUUGCACUUGUGAGGCAAGCAGUGAAACCACUGAGC